RNAcentral lists this ribosomal RNA (253 nucleotides) under uncultured bacterium. RNAcentral's name for it is "partial 16S ribosomal RNA". It matches the Rfam family "Bacterial small subunit ribosomal RNA", at positions 524 to 776 of the family's 1533-position model. The record is from RNAcentral.
UACGUAGGGUGCGAGCGUUGCCCGGAUUUAUUGGGCGUAAAGGGCGCGUAGGCGGCCAUGCGUGUCUUCCGUGAAAUCCCUCGGCUUAACUGAGGACGUGCGGAAGAAACUGCAAGGCUCGAGUCCGGGAGAGGGGGGUGGAAUUCCCAGUGUAGCGGUGAAAUGCGUGGAUAUUGGGAGGAACACCGGUGGCGAAGGCGGCCCCCUGGACCGGUACUGACGCUGAGGCGCGAAAGCGUGGGUAGCAAACGGG